UUUGGUUAGAGUUUAAAUAAGUUGCCUAAGUCAAUUGAGAUAUUCAAUUUGGUUAGAGUUUAAAUAAGUUGCCUAAAUUAUAAUCUUAAUCCCCAAAGUACCUUUUCCUAAGUGGUAUUAUUUUAAUCCAAUUAAAUUUAAUUAGGGCAACAUUCCACAAUUUCAACCAACCAAAAACAACCCCCCAGCAGCCCAUUUAAAUAUCAGCUUCCCUAGCCCAAAAUCAAAUACAACUCCAAUCCCUCAUCAAGACCAAUAACAUAUCAGCCAGUCCAAUCUUCAACCCAAUAACUCCUGACCCGGCCCAUGUCAUCUCCUCUUCCCUUAAAUAACCUUAAAACCAAUAUAACCAAGGUACAGUCGGCUUCUGCCCUAUUCAACGUACAAAAACCAUGCUCCAUCCGUGACCCGUCUCACACCUGAAUCCGUCAAACCCAUCAACAAUAUCAAACAACCCGAUAUCAACCCCCAACGAUCUGAAAUCUACCCAUAACCAUGACCCAUCCCAGCGUAUGGCAUCAACAGCUCGAGAAUUCUCUAGAAAUAUAUAGGUGUCCGCUCCAACGGCUAGAGGCCGAAAAUUUCAGGAUGAAUGGUACAAAAUCAUACAUAGUUGCUCGAUUCUCAUUGGUUGGGGGAGAAAAAUUUCAUUCCUUCAAUUCCAUUGGUUGGAAAAUUUUGGGUUUCAUCAGGAAGAUUCCAAAAUUAGUUCAAUUGGCUGGCGGAAAACACUUUUGGGAGUUCAAAUUUUAAAUUCCCCUUUGGGGAGAAUACCGAAAUUAUUCUCAUUUGAAGCCCUAAAUAACCCCUAGUUUAUUCUCUAUAAAAGGAGGGGGGGAAUUCUAGGGUUUGGGAAAUGGUUUCAAGAAAUUAGAGUGAAAUUCCUUUUUUGGUUCUCUCUUUCUCUUUCGGGAGCCAAAGAAUUCUAGAGUCCAAAAUUGGGGUUCGAAAAUUUUGUCUCCUGAAAAUAAAAGUUUUUUUUUGUGAAAAUCUUCUCGUCCACUUUUUCUCUUUGGAAGCUGGUCGAUCAACUGGAAAUUCCAAAGUCUACAACAUCAUCUCUCGGUGGUAACGGUUCUACUGAAAGCUCGGGUUCCCAUUUUGCUGCCCCGAAGGAGGUAAACAUACCCUCGCCCCUUUUAACUUAUCGUUUUCUUCCUUAUUUCUCUUUCCUCGUAGAAGUAGUUAUCUGUUUGUCGAUGAAUGAGGCUGGGUUUUCUGUUGUAGAGGCCUUAAGGGCUAUAGGUUUCUCUGAGUGUAGUAAAUGUUAGAUUUCGGUUAAGUUGGAGUAGUGUUUGUUUUAAGUUGUUUAAUGGGUGACUGCUGUUAUAUCUAACUUGGCAUCGAUUUUGUCAUUUGCGCGUGAUAUUACUGAGUAUUGCUUGCAUUUAAAAGCUAUUUCCAUAACUAAAGGUUUCAUUUUUUAGGGGGUCGAGGAGGUUUUGUUCGUUGUUAGUAGUUGUGUUCGUUGUUAGUAGUUGACAUUGUUAGUUUGACGUUGUUAGCUGGUAGCAUCAUUAGCAAAAGCUCCUCUUAAAGUUCUGGCCAUGUGCUCCUUGUGGUAGAAUUUUAAAGUUCAUUUUUUUGGGAAUUUAGAUUAAGAACUUUGAGAAUUCGUUUUACCUUUGAGCUUUCUAUGUUUACUGUGUGUCUGUAUGAUUUACUCGCAAUUUUCAUGGUGCCUUUUGAUUCAAGAUGUCGAAAGGGGCCUGUAAGUUUGCAUAAUAUCAAUCCUGCGGAUUUCGAAUAUUCUAAGUCUUGUUCUUUUACAAUAUUUGAUAAAAAUGAGGGGGGGACUUGUUUAAGUUUUCAAGCUAAUCAAAUAAUUUUGGAAUCCGAUUAGGGCCUGCUCCCUCGUCAUUUUAUUAAGACUACAUAUCUUGUCCAAAUGGUUACGUCAUUUCCAGACUGCUUCACCUCGUGCCUUUGUUCUAUUUCUAAAAUGUGACUAGCAGAGCUUAUGUUUGCUUGAGUCGCAGAGGAGUUUAGAUUUAUAUAACGUCACUUUCAUCCCAAGUUUAUAGUUCAGUUGUGGCAUGAUUGUUUGUUGCUUUGCGAAUUGCCUAACUAUGAUGGCACAACUCUCUUUGAAUCGACUAUAGUCGAUGUGCUCAAUUUAUAGGUCGAAAUAACGGGAAGAGAUCUAGUUCUGAAACCCGUCUCUCCAAGUGUUGCACUAAUUGAUAAACUUUCUUGUAUUUUCUUUUGAUUCAGUAUCAUUCUCUUGGAUAUAUAAAUAAGUGAUUCUUUUUCAUAAACGUGUGAUUAUGUAGGAGCCUACUGGUGAAUUUCAAAGUUGUGCAUUCUAUUUCUCAAAGUGCUUAAAAUAGAUAAUUUGGAUCAGCCACUAUGGAUGGAUGCCAAUUUAUUUUUCAUUAAUUUCAAACUCCCUGAUUGAUGUAUGUUUCUUUAAAUUAUUUUAUAUAUCAUUUUAUAUCUUUUGUGUGUUGGUUGAAAAUUUAGAAUGGGCUUAAUUCAUUCAUUGUUUCUUUGCAUGGAUCUGCCUUUGAGUCCAAACGGACUCUUUCCCGUCGGAGCAUUAUCAAUUUGCGCCAUUGACGCCCAUCCCUCAUGAGCCGAUCUCAAAAUCCCUAAAAUGCCAAUUACGUGGCAAACGAAUACAAGGAGUCAAAAGAAGAAGAAUCAAACUCAAAAGCAUGAAUAUCAGAACAUUAAGCUAAAGGGCCCUGUGAUAGGGAGACCGACGGAUCGUCGGUGUCCUGACAGACCACUGCACCACACGUCACCACGAAGAAAAAAGGUGGACAAUUUAGAAUUAGGUAAUGGUCCACCCGACGGACCGUUGGAUCUGGAAUGGACCAUUAUUUUGUCUGACAUGACUAAACAGAACUCAUGGAAAAUCAUAUGGCAGGCGACGGACCGUCAGACUAGUGAUGGAGCAUCACCGAGGUCGUCAGGGUCAGCACAGUGCAGAUCAAUUCUGGAUAGCAGCGACGGUUCAGUCGAAAAAUUUUACCCUCUUGACGGUUCGUAAACGAGCUGUCAGUUAUGAUGCGGCAGCUCAGUUUUAAAAUUUCAAUUCCAACAUUGUUGGAGCCUAUUAAUACCCAGCUAGAAUAGGUAUUUUUUGACUAGGUGUUGAAUUUUGUAACAUACGUAUUAAUGAGAAACAAGUUUGGAGAUGUUGAACACAUUGCUUGUCGUUUGAAUUUGGAUUUUGAAAUCUUAUUUCUCUUUAUUGUA
Long non-coding RNA from Capsicum annuum, 3204 nucleotides. RefSeq lists it as uncharacterized. Lineage: Eukaryota; Viridiplantae; Streptophyta; Magnoliopsida; Solanales; Solanaceae. The record is from RefSeq and is a predicted model, not a curated record. The transcript has 2 exons.